This 87-nucleotide transfer RNA is filed under the name Ruminococcus sp. RNAcentral describes it as "tRNA-Leu". It matches the Rfam family "tRNA". Rfam says of the family: Transfer RNA (tRNA) molecules are approximately 80 nucleotides in length. Their secondary structure includes four short double-helical elements and three loops (D, anti-codon, and T loops). Further hydrogen bonds mediate the characteristic L-shaped molecular structure. tRNAs have two regions of fundamental functional importance: the anti-codon, which is responsible for specific mRNA codon recognition, and the 3' end, to which the tRNAs corresponding amino acid is attached (by aminoacyl-tRNA synthetases). tRNAs cope with the degeneracy of the genetic code in two manners: having more than one tRNA (with a specific anti-codon) for a particular amino acid; and 'wobble' base-pairing, i.e. permitting non-standard base-pairing at the 3rd anti-codon position. RNAcentral also lists the same sequence under 5 other names. Lineage: Bacteria; Bacillati; Bacillota; Clostridia; Eubacteriales; Oscillospiraceae. The record is from RNAcentral.
GCCGGUGUGAUGGAAUUGGCAGACGUGCUGGACUCAAAAUCCUGUGGUAGUGAUACCGUACCGGUUCGACCCCGGUCACCGGCACCA